This 42-nucleotide ribosomal RNA is filed under the name Moeroris gillettiana. Its description in RNAcentral is "Phyllanthus gillettianus partial 5.8S ribosomal RNA". The record is from RNAcentral. Lineage: Eukaryota; Viridiplantae; Streptophyta; Magnoliopsida; Malpighiales; Phyllanthaceae.
UAAACGACUCUCGGCAACGGAUAUCUCGGCUCUCGCAUCGAU